This is a long non-coding RNA of Lolium perenne, 1004 nucleotides long. RefSeq lists it as uncharacterized. The record is from RefSeq and is a predicted model, not a curated record. Lineage: Eukaryota; Viridiplantae; Streptophyta; Magnoliopsida; Poales; Poaceae.
CUAAACAUGAAGAUUCAGAUCUACACGAUCCUUCUGCCGUCAAAUACUGCGCAAUCAGCUCCUCAGAUCGCAUCUAGAGAUGAUCGAUUAAUUAGUUCAAGCUCUCGGCGAGUCGGCAAGAAAUCAGAUUGAAUCUCAUCGGAAAAAUCUUCCCCGCACUGAAGGUCAAGGGAAAGCAGAGGCAAUCUGUCCCGCGUCUCGAUUCACAACGGAGACCCACGAUUCAGAUCGAAUCCCGUGGGAAAAAUCUAUGCUGCAUCUUGAUUCACAUCGGAGACGAGCACGUAGGGCAAGGUCGAUUCCUAAAACGAAGAUGAACAGGAGGGCAAGGUCGAUUCCAAAUGGAGACGAGAACGAAGGACAAGGCCAAAUAGAGAACAAUCCGUCCCAAGCAGAGGAAGGACAUGGACAUAUGCGACAGGCUUGAUAGCGGGAAUCGCGCCCACGAUGUGGCUUCUGAAGCUCCUCCCCGCCCCGUCGGGUCGCGACUUACACAGGGGUCAAUUCAUACAGGCCUGACACUCAUCAGUGUCAUCACCUUCUAUGUCGCCGCUGGAGCGAUCAUGAGGGGGUAACCAAAGGUCAUCGAGGAGGCAGUUGAUGACGACAUGGAGAGUAGAUACUCAGAGUACUAGCUCGAUGCCAUGGUGGUGGACCUCACACAAGUUCUCAGUGCCACACUGCCGGUAUCACGUUCAUCCUCAAAUAUGUGUAGCCAUCGCUCCAAGAGGAGGAAGAAACAUUAAAACAGAGCUUGGUCUUAUUGAAGGUCUGUCUAUCGAGACUGUCAAUUCCUUCAUGUCUCUCUUUUUUUUUUCAGGAACACGCGAGAAAGCACCCUUCAUGUCUUUUACAGGCUCAGUUCAAAAGAUUAGUAGUGUAAUAUUUUGCUUCAUCUUUAUCUAUCAUUUUGUCUGCCUUAAAGACAGACUGAUAAACACUUUGUGCACAUAAAAACUAAGUUAAAUGAUUGUUCACGGGCUAAUAGUAUUGGGCAUGUAAUA